This 558-nucleotide ribosomal RNA is filed under the name Malassezia furfur. RNAcentral's name for it is "LSU rRNA". It matches the Rfam family "Eukaryotic large subunit ribosomal RNA", at positions 108 to 653 of the family's 3401-position model. Lineage: Eukaryota; Fungi; Basidiomycota; Malasseziomycetes; Malasseziales; Malasseziaceae. The record is from RNAcentral.
CUCAAAUUUGAAAGCUGGUACCUUCGGUAUCCGCGUUGUAACCUCGAGACACGUUUUCCGUGCGGCGCUAUGGACAAGUUCCUUGGAACAGGACAUCGUAGAGGGUGAAAAUCCCGUACUUGCCAUGGAUGUACCGUGCUUUGCGAUACGUGCUCUAAGAGUCGAGUUGUUUGGGAUUGCAGCUCAAAAUGGGUGGUAGACUCCAUCUAAAGCUAAAUAUCGGGGAGAGACCGAUAGCGAACAAGUACCGUGAGGGAAAGAUGAAAAGCACUUUGGAAAGAGAGUUAAAAGUACGUGAAAUUGUCGAAAGGGAAGCGCUUGAAGUCAGCCAUGCCGCUCAGGACUCAGCCUGGCUUUUGCUUGGUGUAUUUCCUGGGUAGCAAGUCAGCAUUGGUUUGGAUCGUCGGAGAAGCAUAGUCGGAAUGUGGCGCCCUCGGGCGUGUUAUAGCCUUCUAUUGGAUACGACGAUCUAGACCAAGGAACGCAGCGCGCCUUAUGGCGGGUCUUCGGACACCUUCGCGCUUAGGAUGCUGGCGUAAUGGCUUUAAGUGGCCCGUC